This 26-nucleotide non-coding RNA is filed under the name Cricetulus griseus (Chinese hamster). The record is from RNAcentral. Lineage: Eukaryota; Metazoa; Chordata; Mammalia; Rodentia; Cricetidae.
AUCAGAUACACUGUGGAAGGAAGAGU